Anguilla anguilla (European eel) is the source of this 541-nucleotide long non-coding RNA. RefSeq lists it as uncharacterized. The record is from RefSeq and is a predicted model, not a curated record. NCBI's taxonomy places the organism in Eukaryota, Metazoa, Chordata, Actinopteri, Anguilliformes, Anguillidae. The transcript has 3 exons.
GACAAUUUCCCUGACUGUUGCAGGGAGUGGUAGAUGAAAGUUGAAUUUCUACUUUUUUUUGCCCUGCCUCCGGCUGUAAGUGAAUGUAACAGAGAAACAAGGCCCUGCUUUAUUCAUAGGUGCUUGAACACAUGCUACAGCUGCGUCACCUGCCCCACAGGGGUUACGUGUGCCGAUCUAACACCUCUCUCUCGAGAAGCCACAGGUCAAAAUCAAUUCACACGCGUGCUGCUCGUAGACGCUGGUUAAGGUUUUGCUGGCCUCCUCCUGCGAACACCUCAUCCAGAGGCGAAAAAAUCCAGGUUCGGAAUGUGAAAGUCUUCCCAGGCGUUUUGCUCCAAUCACCUGGAUUUGCUAAUUAGCACAAAUCUUCCACCAGGAGGCAGAACUAAUUAGUGAAAUCAGCCGGCUGGAGUUCAUGGGUGGCAGAAACGCACGACAGGAUUUUUACUUUCUGACCCCUGGACUUUACACCUCAUCCAUAAACUGGCUGACAUGCUGGUCACCAGUCGGCACCCUGAGCCGACCAGAGGAGGAUGGG